RNAcentral lists this ribosomal RNA (466 nucleotides) under uncultured Desulfobulbus sp. RNAcentral's name for it is "bacterial SSU rRNA". It matches the Rfam family "Bacterial small subunit ribosomal RNA", at positions 912 to 1382 of the family's 1533-position model. The record is from RNAcentral. Lineage: Bacteria; Pseudomonadati; Thermodesulfobacteriota; Desulfobulbia; Desulfobulbales; Desulfobulbaceae.
GACGGGACCCCGCACAAGCGGUGGAUCAUGUUGUUUAAUUCGAUGAUACGCGAAGAACCUUACCAGGUCUUGACAUCCCCCGCGAUGCUUUAGAGAUAAAGCGGAGGUAUUCGGGGAGACAGGUGCUGCAUGGCUGUCGUCAGCUCGUGUCGUGAGAUGUUGGGUUAAGUCCCGCAACGAGCGCAACCCUUGCCUUUAGUUGCCAGCAGUUCGGCUGGGCACUCUAAAGGGACUGCCGGUGUUAAACCGGAGGAAGGUGGGGAUGACGUCAAGUCCUCAUGGCCUUUAUGACCAGGGCUACACACGUACUACAAUGGCCGAUACAAAGGGCAGCGACACUGCGAGGUGAAGCCAAUCCCGUAAAAUCGGUCUCAGUCCGGAUUGGAGUCUGCAACUCGACUCCAUGAAGUUGGAAUCGCUAGUAAUCGUGGAUCAGCAUGCCACGGUGAAUACGUUCCCGGGCCUU